GGGGGCGUACUGGUUUCGACGGGGGAAGAGAUGGGUUGAGUAGCGAGCCGAGUUGCCGCCAGCUCGUUAAAACGGUGGAAAAGCAUUAACUGCUGAUAAUAAUAAUUACGCAUUAGCAGCUUAGAGCUGCUACGUCCGGCUGGCCAUCCCUACGGGUUAGUGCAGGGCGUCAAUUAGUAGGGAUACCCUGACGGUUUUUCUCUCUGGGGACUGUUAAGGGGAAAUUUACAGGGAUAGCACAAUGGAAGCCUGUCCGUGGGCGUCCGGCGUGCGAACUCUAAAAUACGGACUGCGCUCGGAGACACUUGGCUGGUCUUUCCUUCGGACGGGGGUUCGACUCCCCCCGCCUCCACCA
This 355-nucleotide transfer-messenger RNA is filed under the name Syntrophomonadaceae bacterium. It matches the Rfam family "transfer-messenger RNA". Rfam says of the family: Bacterial tmRNA, also known as 10Sa RNA or SsrA, is named for its dual tRNA and mRNA-like properties. The record is from RNAcentral. RNAcentral also lists the same sequence under 3 other names. Lineage: Bacteria; Bacillati; Bacillota; Clostridia; Eubacteriales; Syntrophomonadaceae.